UAUCCGCGACCUCAUACGUCAAAUCUAGAAUAGAAAAUGAAUUCUCGUUUGAAUACAUCAGAAAUGUGGCGCGGUAACGCCCAGCUAAUUAUGCGCGGCUGUUCCGAUGUGUAUAUAUACUCCAUCGUUCGGAACGGGGCUAGACAGGUUUGUCAACACACAUAAAUUAGCGGUGUAAUCAGCCUUGUGCCCUCCGUGAAGACUUCGGACGAGGACAACUUUGCAGUGUAACAUGGAAAUGUAUAGAGCUUUCUGUGUAGCCUUUCUGGUUGUUUUUAUCUUCUCUCAAACAGGCGAGACCAUUCCACUUCGUUUAAAAAGGGAUACGAAAAAAUAUGUUUCUCCAAUUGAAAAUUUCAUUAUUCUGACCAACAAAUACAGAGUGCAACUUGAGACAAUUCAGAACGCAACAGACCCAAAAAAUGGCACCGAAACAGCUAGUAAUAUAGCUGUCCAGAAUCUUCAAGAUAGCAACACACAAACUGAUGACGUCACAACUACACAGGGAACAACCUCCUUAAUUUAGACAAGCAAAUUGUCGUGAUUGCAAAAGCUAGGAGACUUUUUACUCUCCCAAACAAAACUUGCCCAAUGAAGAUAUGAAUAGGUGCGAGGCAAGGGGGAGUCUGUGUAAUCCAGUCGGAAGAAAUCCAAUUUUUUUAUUUCGUCUUCUGUUGUGUUUGCUGGCGAACAACAACUAGUGACUAUGAACUUGUAGACACAAUAUUUAUUUAUUACAAUUGCAGCUUUCAUUCUAUCAUUUCGUUCAUAAGUUUUCAUAUGUCAAAUUGUGUUUCAUUAAAUUAUUCUUCAUGAU
Molecule: long non-coding RNA, 817 nt
Organism: Magallana angulata
Lineage: Eukaryota; Metazoa; Mollusca; Bivalvia; Ostreida; Ostreidae
Exons: 2
Source: RefSeq, a predicted model, not a curated record